UGUAAACAACAAUUUUUAGUGCAUGUUCAAGGUGUGUUACAGGCCCACAUCUAUAUCAGAAUCUCAAAUUACACAUUUUCAAAGUAUACUGUGUGACACAUAUAUUGUACUACAUAGUUCUUGUUUAUUUCUUGUCACCUAUUUGUUAUAUCUAAUAAUAGGAUAUUCUAGAUCAACUCCCCGCAUAGACCCGCUUCGAGGGAGGAGGAUGCAGAGGCCGGCAACAAGGAGCGGGUGUGGGUGCUCAUCCUCGCCGCUGACCACAAGUGUUGCGACAAACUUUGGGCAGAAUUCGAUGCCUCCACGGGUAUGAGCAAAUCAAAUACUGCUUACUUCUUUCUGUCUGUUGUCUGCUGGAGUAGCUAAUAGACCGCUUUAGAAUGUUGUGAGCUUGGUUAUUUUACAUUGUUUGCUAAUAUCAAGCAAAGAAUGAAUGCUGGAGUGUGUUACUGUGCUUCAUUACAAUACCUACAAAACUUUAGAAAGGGUGUUUCUGUCCACCCACAUAAAGCAAAAGAUAAAUCUAUGAUUGCGCGGCAGGCCUGAUAAUCCACACCAAACUAAUCAAAAAAGAGAUCAAUCUGUGACUUGUUGAGUAAUUAACAAACCCGGUGUUGUUGUCCACUACCAGCCGGCUGGAGGCCCCAACUCGUUUGGCUCCGUCUACGCGGUGCCAGGAGAUUAGCAGAUGGAUGCAUCCGCCGGCAGUACCAACUGCACAUCAAAGAACAACGGAUUAGUACGUUGACAGGGAUAGAAAAAUAUGAAACUCGGACACACAGAAUUUGCAGUUAUCAACAAACACUAAUUUGAAUACCUUCUAAAUCUCACAUAGUGCAGGGCUGCUCUGAAUAUCAUUGUGUUCCAUAAAUAAUGUUCCUUUCUUAGUCUACUAACGGGUGCACAAUCCAUCGACCACCAUAAUCCUCUGUCACAUUAAAGCUGUCCUACAUCAUCAGAUUAGAGUCUCUGCUCUUGUUGAUAAAUUGUGUAACACUCUGAAACACAACGAUAUUUUUUUACUCGUCAGAUUCAGAUUAGAGUCUGUUUUUUUACUUUGAAACACAAAAAGAACAUUGUCCCAUUGUCAAUGGAGUAAAGAAAGAAUAGAUUAUCUUCAUGCCCCCGUAUUUAUGAAAAAUAUUUAUUCAACAAAAACAUGUCUACCUGCCCACUUCAUUGCAAACCAACUCACGUGUGCAGCAACAUUAUUUAUUAAUUAAUGUAAAAUAUGUCUGCCACUCAACUAAGUUUAGAACCAAAUGGACAACUAUGAAGAAGCAUAAAUAUUUUGUAAUCAUUUUUGGCUUCCCUUACAUGUUGUAGGCAGCAUACGAUACUUAUCUGAAAUACCUAAAGGCACAAGAAAAGCUAGUGAAGAAUGAAGAAACUUUAAUCUAACCUCGCUCAAUGUGGUGUAUUUCCUUGAGCACCCAUGCGAGUGUCUUAGCUCUUCUUCGUACGCAUGGGGCACGAGCAUGUUCUCCAAGGAGGACAGUAGCUCUCACCCACGACCUCCUCGAUGUCGUUGGCGAAGUAGUAGAGGGUGACAGCAUGGAAUUGCUUGGUCGCUUUUGUGGGUGACCUCAAGGCGCUGCUAGUGGGAGGUCACAGACAAGCGCGUGCUGUCGGUGAAGGUGGAUCUAGAGAACAAGAAUUCAACCUAAAACCAGACGAAGGUGGGAGGUGGGACAAAAAAAACCCGGAACGGAGACAACCAAAUGCUUCAUUACCGAAAAGGCUCGUGCCCCGCUUUAUACAUAAAGCAACGAUCACCAUACAUACCAACACAUACAACUCACCCCACAACACACACACAAGGCAAGAUACAAGGGUGUAUAUGAACUGGUAGAUCACCCCCAUCCACUCCAAGCAACUACAUGUAGGCAGGGAUAGCACCACUUGUAGUCUCCGCAGACCUCAACCGUGAGCGAGUCACCGUGAAGAGAGAGAGAGCUGUGCACGACAAGCCGAACACUCCAAGGCGGUGCCUUCAAGAAGGGCACGACACAGGAGUAUCACCACCGCCCGAUCCCAAGAUCAAGGUUUCCUUCAAAGCAAUCGGAGCAUGUAUAGGAGCCGCGACGACGCCUUCAAGAAGGAGGCACCGCCCAUAGGCGACGUCGCCGUCGGCUUGGCAGAGCCAAAGCAGGUUUUCACCCCGGGAAGUCCUCACAGCCCCCGAGGCGAGGCACAACAAACCAGGCCCGCCGGACCUACCCCUCCGGUUGUCGCACCCUGACCACCACACCCCCCGCACGGUCACAGUAGCUAGCUCACACCCGAGCCGCGAGCUCCGCCCAUGAGCCCACGCCUCCCACCUCCAGGGCCGCCGCCCCAACACCCAUGGUCCCGACACCAUCCCCUACCGAAGCUUGCAGCCAUGACAGGCAAAGAGACGGGCGGGAAGGCACCUCCUUCCCUGCCCUUGGACGGUCCUGUUGGAAAUAUGCCCUAGAGGCAAUAAUAAAUUGAUUAUUAUUAUAUUUCCUUGUUCAUGAUAAUCGUUUAUUAUCCAUGCUAGAAUUGUAUUGAUAGGAAACUCAGAUACAUGUGUGGAUAUAUAGAUAGCCCCAUGUCCCUAGUAAGCCUCUAGUUGACUAGCUCGUUGAUCAAUAGAUGGUUAUGGUUUCCUGACCAUGGACAUUGGAUGUCGUUGAUAACGGGAUCACAUCAUUAGGAGAAUGAUGUGAUGGACAAGACCCAAUCCUAAGCCUAGCACAAGAUCGUGUAGUUCGUUUGCUAAGAGCUUUUCUAAUGUCAAGUAUCAUUUCCUUAGACCAUGAGAUUGUGCAACUCCCGGAUACCGUAGGAAUGCUUUGGGUGUACCAAACGUCACAACGUAACUGGGUGGCUUUAAAGGUGCAUUACAGGUAUCUCCGAAAGUGUCUGUUGGGUUGGCACGAAUCGAGACUGGGAUUUGUCACUCCGUGUAAACGGAGAGGUAUCUCUGGGCCCACUCGGUAGGACAUCAUCAUAAUGUGCACAAUGUGACCAAGGAGUUGAUCACGGGAUGAUGUGUUACGGAACGAGUAAAGAGACUUGCCGGUAACAAGAUUGAACAAGGUAUCGGGAUACCGACGAUCGAAUCUCGGGCAAGUAACAUACCGAUUGACAAAGGGAAUUGUAUACGGGAUUGAUUGAAUCCCCGACAUCGUGGUUCAUCCGAUGAGAUCAUCGUGGAACAUGUGGGAGCCAACAUGGGUAUCCAGAUCCCGCUGUUGGUUAUUGACCGGAGAACGUCUCGGUCAUGUCUGCAUGGUUCCCGAACCCGUAGGGUCUACACACUUAAGGUUCGAUGACGCUAGGGUUAUAGGGAAUAGAUAUACGUGGUUACCGAAUGUUGUUCGGAGUCCCGGAUGAGAUCCCGGACGUCACGAGGAGUUCCGGAAUGGUCCGGAGGUAAAGAUUUGUAUAUGUGAAGUCCUGUUUUGGUCACCGGAAAAGUUUCGGGUGCUAUCGGUAACGUACCGGGACCACCGGGAGGGUCCCGGGGGUCCACCAGGUGGGGCCACCGGCCCCAGAGGGCUGUGUGGGCCAAGUGUGGGAAGGGACCAGCCCCUAGGUGGGCUGGUGCGCCUCCCACAAAGGGCCCAGGGCGCAGGAAGGGGGAAGGGGGAAACCCUAGGCUCAGAUGGGCCUAAGGCCCACCUAGUGGUGCGCCCCCCCUCUCUCCCCCCUUGGCCGCCCCCCUAGAUGGAUCUAGGUCUGGCCGCACCCCUUGGGGGAGAAACCCUAGAGGGGGGUGCAGCACCUCCCCCUCCCCUAUAUAUAGUGGGGGUUUUGGGGCUGCCAUACACAUGAGAACAUCUCCCUCAUAGCGCAGCCCUACCCCUCUCCCUCCUCGUCUCUUGCGGUGCUUGGCGAAGCUCUGCUGGAGUGCCACGCUCCUCCACCACCACCACGCCGUCGUGCUGCUGUUGGACGGAGUCUUCCCCAACCUCUCCCUCUCUCCUUGCUGGAUCAAGGCGUGGGAGACGUCAUCGGGCUGCACGUGUGUUGAACGCGGAGGCGCUGUGGUUCGGCGCUUAGAUCGGAAUCAACCGCGAUCUGAAUCGCUACGAGUACGACUCCUUCAUCCCCGUUCUUGCAACGCUUCCGCAUCGCGAUCUACAAUGGUAUGUAGAUGCACUCCCCUUUCCCUCGUUGCUAGAUUACUCCAUAGAUUGAUCUUGGUGAUGCGUAGAAAAUUUUGAAUUUCUGCUACGUGCUCCAACAGGUCCCCAGGUCCGAGGCCCACCCCCGGGACGGCCGCACUCGGCCGCCACCGCCCCGUCCUGCCAGGCCGUGCAAGGACGAGCUCCCCGGUGCGCCACCUGACAGGAGGCAAGGAUGGUUCCGUGGCCCUCCCGGCGUCGGAUCCAUCCCUCAACUGUGGCCAUCGCUGGGAAAGGUCCAGCCCUAUGUCGCGACAUGUGCAAGCUCAGCAGGGGCUGGAUUGGAGCCGCACUCAGACCUGCGCCGUGGCUGGACAAGAUGAAUCUCACCAGCGGCCGCUAUCCACCACCAGUGACCACACAGCCGGACGACGAGGUGCAGCGGCGACCCAAGCCGCCGCCCGCCGAGCUCCCGCGCGUGCCGAGCCACCCAGGCCACAGCUGAGCCAGCGCAACCCGCGGGCGCAGCCGCUACUAGAUCUGGGCGCGCACAAACACAGCCGCCGGCAACAUCGCAGCCACCCCCCGCCGUAGAGCCACCCGUACGAGCACCUGGCCAGGCGUCGCCGCCCCACACUCAGAUGCCACGUCGUCGUCCCCCCUACUCGCACGGCACCUUCGCCGGCCACGCCAUCCUGCGCCACAUGCGGCCACACGGUGAAGGGAAGACCCCCCCCCCCCCACACACACACACCGCCGGAGCCGACCGGGCUUCGCCAGCCUUGCUCGCAGGCGGCGGCAGGGGAGGGGAGAAGGGGAUGAGGAGGGGGUCCCGGCGGCGGCGGCACAAGGGUUUCUCCCGUGACGCGCGUCGCGGGAGGAGGACGGAGGGGACAUACUUCUCCCGGCUUUUAUUUUCCAACUGCUCCAUUAGGAGUAGAGAUAUGUCUAGAUAUAUGAUUGUAAUAUUCUACCAUUACUUUAUUUUCUUCCUUUACCUCACACUGUAAAGCCGAGACAAACAAUGUGACCUCACCUAAUCUCUGAUCCCCACGGCAAUUGGGUAUCUCUCUAUCCUCCUCUCACCACAAAGCAAAACUCAAGAGACAAUGAAAAAGGGAGGGAACAAAAAAUUCUCACUCAUUGAAGUAUCUUACCUAAUUAGAGAAACUAAAAAAGGCCAAAAGGAAGUGUCCAUUAAAAGGCUAGCAAGUACCAUUAUAUCUAGCUCUCUUUCUGCAGGGCUUGCUGCAGAAGAGAUGGGCUCCUAACAAACCUUCCCUCAAACAACAAAAAACAGAUGACAUGAGUAAACCUGUGGACUCUGUUUCAACAAAGCAGAUACGUAGACGAUGGUAAUCUACUGUGAGGAGUGAGCUUUUCCACCGCUUGGCUUACAAAUAUUAUAGAACUUUUUAUUCUUUCAAGCACCAGUUCUAGUAGAAUGCACGUGUACAUACAGAACAAUUUCUAACAGUUAUUCACCCACAUGUUUACCAGAAUGUAAAAAAAGAUAAAAGAAACUCUUAGAGCUAAAAUGAUCUCAUGUAAUCUAGGCAGUAGGUUUGCUCGGACUCACUAUUUAGUUAUUUUCCUUGCAAACUAAUUUUUAGUACUUCCAUUUUUAUGGGUGACUGGAGUAUCAGUGAUACUCUUAAAAGGUGCGUACUUCAGUCUAGCAUAUGAAACAUCAUCUGCCCCCUAAACAUUUAAAAGCAAGUAAAAUUUAAUUUUGUUGUAUGGCCUAAUUACCUGAGAUCCUCCACAAUUAUUCAGUGCAUAACCAAGCCCAUAUAUCUGGUUUGAUAAAUCUUCUAUAGUUUCUUAUCCCUGUUAACUGUGCCUGCCUUGCAACUCUGAAUCUUCAA
This 5965-nucleotide long non-coding RNA is filed under the name Triticum aestivum (bread wheat). Its description in RNAcentral is "long non-coding RNA (TAES_LNC017901)". The record is from RNAcentral. Lineage: Eukaryota; Viridiplantae; Streptophyta; Magnoliopsida; Poales; Poaceae.